UUUUAAAAAUAAAAUAAUUUAAGGUGAGGAUAUAAAAUUAUAUGUAAAGUUUUUGUAUUAUAUAAAGAAAAAUUAUUUUUUUUAAACUGAAAAGGAAAAAUGAAAAUUUUAAAAUUUUAAAAUUGAAAAAGUACAAUUUAAGGUACCUUUUGCAUCAGGGUUUUUAGAAGAAAUUAAACUAGUUUAAUUUCCCGAAAUUAAAAUGAGCUAUUAAAAUAGUUUAUUUAUGUGGAAAGAUAAUUAAUAAUAUUUUGAUAGAAAUGAAAUUUUAUUCAUAUUUAACGAUAUCUGGUUAUAAUAUUUUGAUUUUAGGUCAAAAUUACAAAUUAUAAUUUUUAUAAAAAUUAUGUAGUUUUUUCUAUAAGGGAUAAGCUUGGUAGAAUUUCUUUAUGAUUUUAGUAUUAUUAAAAUAAGGAAUAAAAUUUUCUAAGUCUUUUUAAAAAGAAUUUUAAUUUUUUUAAAAUUAUGUAAGAUUUUUUUAUAAUUAAAUUAAUUUUUUUUUUUAAAAAAAUUAUUAAAAAAUUAGUAAAUUGAAAAUAUAAAUAUAAAAAAUUAAGGUUGAUUUUUCGGAAAGAAAAUUUAAUUAUAGGAAUUCGGCAAAUUAAUUUAGUUGACUGUUUAUCAAAAACAUUUCAUUUUGUUUUAUAAUAAAAUGUAUAAUCUGCUCAAUGAUUUUUAAAUUGCUGUGGUAUUUUGACUAUACGAAGGUAUUGAAAUAAGACUUUAAAUGAGUGCUAAGAGAAUGAUUGAACAAUUAGAAACUUUCUUUAAUUAAAUAAUUAAAUUUAAUUUUUUAAUGCAAAAUUUAAAAUAAAAUUUAGGGACAAGAAGACCCUAUGAAUUUUUUAUUUAUUUAAAUAUAAAUAAAAUUUUUAAAUAAAUUUGAUUGGGGCGAUGUAAAAAGAAUAAAUAUCUUUUUUUAUAAAAUUAAAUUAGUUCCGUUUAUAGCGAUUUUUUGAAAAAAAUACUCUAGGGAUAACAGCGUAAUAAUUUUGGAUAGUUCAUAUAGAUAAAAUAGUUUGCGACCUCGAUGUUGGAUUAGGAUACUUUUUUGAUGAAGAAGUUGAAAAAAGAAGUUUGUUCAACUUUUAAACUCCUACAUGAUCUGAGUUCAGACCGGCGUGAGCCAGGUUGGUUUCUAUCUUAAUUAAAAAUUAUAUUUUUUUAGUACGAAAGGAAUUAAAAAUAAAAAUAUUUUUUUUUGAAAAUUGGUUACAAUAUA
RNAcentral lists this ribosomal RNA (1222 nucleotides) under Ixodes pacificus (western blacklegged tick). Its description in RNAcentral is "16S ribosomal RNA". The stretch from base 819 to 1146 matches the Rfam family "Archaeal large subunit ribosomal RNA", at positions 2152 to 2714 of the family's 2987-position model. The record is from RNAcentral. Lineage: Eukaryota; Metazoa; Arthropoda; Arachnida; Ixodida; Ixodidae.